Molecule: transfer RNA, 73 nt
Filed under: Neolecta irregularis DAH-3
Lineage: Eukaryota; Fungi; Ascomycota; Neolectomycetes; Neolectales; Neolectaceae
Rfam family: tRNA
About the family: Transfer RNA (tRNA) molecules are approximately 80 nucleotides in length. Their secondary structure includes four short double-helical elements and three loops (D, anti-codon, and T loops).
Source: Rfam by way of RNAcentral
GGAAUAGUGGUCUAGCGGUUAUGAUUUCGCUUUAACACAGCGAAGGUUCCAGGUUCGAUUCCUGGCUAUUUCA